RNAcentral lists this ribosomal RNA (253 nucleotides) under uncultured bacterium. RNAcentral describes it as "partial 16S ribosomal RNA". It matches the Rfam family "Bacterial small subunit ribosomal RNA", at positions 524 to 776 of the family's 1533-position model. The record is from RNAcentral.
UACGGAGGGUCCGAGCGUUAUCCGGAAUCAUUGGGUUUAAAGGGUCCGUAGGCGGAUCUGUAAGUCAGUGGUGAAAUCUCACGGCUCAACCGUGAAAUUGCCAUUGAUACUGCAGAUCUUGAAUUAUUGGGAAGUAAUUAGAAUAUGUAGUGUAGCGGUGAAAUGCUUAGAGAUUACAUGGAAUACCGAUUGCGAAGGCAGGUUACUACCAAUACAUUGACGCUGAUGGACGAAAGCGUGGGGAGCGAACAGG